Long non-coding RNA from Oreochromis niloticus (Nile tilapia), 479 nucleotides. RefSeq lists it as uncharacterized. The transcript has 2 exons. NCBI's taxonomy places the organism in Eukaryota, Metazoa, Chordata, Actinopteri, Cichliformes, Cichlidae. The record is from RefSeq and is a predicted model, not a curated record.
UUUGUUUUGGGUCUUUUGUGCUGGUGUUUUGUGGGGAUUUAUUAUUCUUUUCUUUGCAUUAAGAAGAUUAUUUAAGUUUAAGCUUUGUACAGUUUAGUUAUUUAAGUGUCUCUGAGUUUAUCUGUUUCUGGUCAGGGAUUCUUGUUUGUUCCUUUUGUGUCUUUGUUUCUCUCUCUGUUUGUUUGCGUGUGGGUAACAGCGCAGUGAGUGUUCAGAGGCGGGGAUGUCUUGGUCCCCGCCCUCCAGCUCGGCACACCUGUGACAAUCAACUCACCUGCUCCUCGUCUGAUGAUUAGAGUGUGUCCUGUUUUCCUCAAUGAUGAUUUGUGAGUGUGAGUUGGAGAGAGAAGUCUGUUUCGCUAUCGAGUCUAAAGAUGGAGUGGAACCCAUCGGACCAUCGGCUUGGAUACUUUACAUAGAGACUGUAAAUCUUCCCUUUUUUGCGUCACUGUAAAUAAAUUCAGCAAACUACAAUCUCA